RNAcentral lists this non-coding RNA (253 nucleotides) under uncultured bacterium. Its description in RNAcentral is "partial 16S ribosomal RNA". It matches the Rfam family "Bacterial small subunit ribosomal RNA", at positions 524 to 776 of the family's 1533-position model. RNAcentral also lists the same sequence under 1 other name. The record is from RNAcentral.
GACAGAGGGUGCAAACGUUGCUCGGAAUCACUGGGCGUAAAGGGCGUGUAGGCGGGAAGGAAAGUCAGAUGUGAAAUCCCUGGGCUCAACCCAGGAACUGCAUUUGAAACUCCCUUUCUUGAGUACCGGAGAGGAAAGUGGAAUUCCUGGUGUAGAGGUGAAAUUCGUAGAUAUCAGGAGGAACACCGGUGGCGAAGGCGGCUUUCUGGACGGUAACUGACGCUGAGACGCGAAAGCGUGGGGAGCAAACAGG